RNAcentral lists this ribosomal RNA (288 nucleotides) under uncultured bacterium. RNAcentral's name for it is "partial 16S ribosomal RNA". It matches the Rfam family "Bacterial small subunit ribosomal RNA", at positions 28 to 313 of the family's 1533-position model. The record is from RNAcentral.
GAUGAACGCUAGCGGCAGGCUUAACACAUGCAAGUCGAGGGGCAACAGGGGUAGCAAUACUCGCUGGCGACCGGCAAACGGGUGCGGAACACGUACGCAACAUACCUUUUACUGGGGCAUAGCCUUCUGAAAAGAAGAUUAACACCCCAUAAUAUCAAUGACUGGCAUCAGUUGAUGAUUAAAAAUUUAUUGGUAAGAGAUUGGCGUGCGUCCUAUUAGCUAGUUGGAUGGGUAAUGGCCUACCAAGGCGACGAUAGGUAGCUGGUGUGAGAGCACGACCAGCCACAC